Coregonus clupeaformis (lake whitefish) is the source of this 223-nucleotide long non-coding RNA. RefSeq lists it as uncharacterized. Lineage: Eukaryota; Metazoa; Chordata; Actinopteri; Salmoniformes; Salmonidae. The transcript is spliced from 3 exons. The record is from RefSeq and is a predicted model, not a curated record.
AUGGUACCUGAUGAUGAUCCUGGAGGUCGACAGAAGACUAAGAUGGUGCCGGACUGCAAGUGCCCCAUCUUCCUGGAAACAUUUUACUUUGUUGUCACUGAGGAGAAGCACCAUAAGAGGCUACUGUUCACCAUGUGGAACUGUGACCAAAUCUCAAGGAGAAGUGAGCUGCUGGGGUGUAUGAGUUUUGGCAUGCGUUCCCUCAUGGACCCACAGAAGGUGA